Molecule: long non-coding RNA, 19243 nt
Filed under: Capsella rubella
Lineage: Eukaryota; Viridiplantae; Streptophyta; Magnoliopsida; Brassicales; Brassicaceae
Description: long non-coding RNA (CRUB_LNC004332)
Source: RNAcentral
GAGAGAUUAAGGUGAAAUUUGUGUGUUAAGGAGUAAUCGUUUGGGUAUUUUUUAAGGAGAAAAGAUUAACUAAAUUGUUUGAGUAUUGUAUAGUGUUUGCGCAAGACUUUUGAAAAAAAAAAAAUUUUGAUAAAGAAUUUUUUUUUUUUUUAGAUUGUCGGAGAGUGUUGUGGAUUUUUGAUAAAGAAUAUAUAUAUAUAUACAUAUGUAUAUAUAUAUAUAAGUGUUCUAAAUAGGAUUUUAACUAUAUAUAUAUAUAUAUAUAUAUAUAUAUAUAUUGUUUGCUACAAAUAUAUAUAUAGUUAAAAUCAUUUGAAACACUUGCUACAAAUAAUAUCAACAUUUUUAGCAUACGAUAUAAAUGUUAUAAUUGGUGUCUAUUAUGUUCGCGACAACUAUCUUAGCUAGAUGUUAACUAUAUUUUAACGUUUUUUGUGUAUGUUAUAAAAAUUUCUUCUACAAUUGAGAAUUUGUUAUUAGCUAAUAGUUAUAGUGAAAUGCUAUCAAUAAAGAUAUAUUUUGUAGUUUUUGUGUAAUGUUUUAUGAACAUUUUUUGAUAUUUAAUUAAUAAAACGUUUAUUCAUAUAUCUAUAUAUAUAUAUAUAUAUAUAUUCUUUUGUCAUCUAAGUAGUUUAUCUAAUUCAUUUCCUUUAGAUAUUUUCUCAAUUAAAUUAUCCAUCCUCUUAGGCCAAAUUUUUAAAGAAAUUAAUUUUACCAAGCUAGGAUAUCUGAUAGCCGGAUUUUGAGAAUGGAUCAUGGAUCGGUCACUUAUCGAUAUUAUUAAGAUAUAUUAAAAUCCAUUAGAGUAUUGAGAUGUAAUACAGUUCUAUCCUAUAAAGAAAUCUUAUUAUGUAUAAAUAUUACUCUUAUGUUAAUGAAUAACCAAGUUUUUCUAAAUUAUAUCACAUAUAUAUAUUAUGUAUAGUUCCGAGACCAAUGACUUCGGAACACGUUACAAAACACACAUGGUACGUCGAUAAGUUAGUGUGAUGAUAGUAGUGGUUAGUGGUUACUGCUUAGGUAAACGAGAAUGUCCCAACGUACACUUCACGUUAUAUAUAAGGUCGCGCACUAGCCACUCUUCGCAUAUGAGGUGUUUUGGGAUGAUAUUGACAAUUCGUUGGUGCUUCUGAUUUGAUAUAUUUAACCCAACGAUAUAUAUUGUCAUGGCUAAAAAAUUUAGUUGAAGACUUUGAAGUGUUAUCCAAAUAGCUAGUUCAACAAACUAUAUAUUUUUAUUUGCUAUUAAAACCUUGUCAUCCAAUCAUUUAUUGGCAGUGACUAUACCAAGUACCAACUACACGAUGGUUUAUAUAUAUAUGAGUAUUGAAUUAGGAGCUAAAUGAUCAUACAUUGUUGUCUUAUUAUUAGUCAAGUUCUUAUAUAUUUUAACCGAGUUGUUUUUGUCUUUACUAAUUUAGAAAUAUUCGUAUAUUUUAAGAUUCUCAUCACUUUAGGUGUAGUUUUAAUGGUUAGAUAAUAUAAUAAAGUUUAAGAAUUAUUAAAAAGAAUAAGACUGGUGGCCUUUGUUGAUAUUUCCAAACUAAUGAUAAGGGCAGACAAAUGUCUAUUACAUAUCAAGUUGUUUUUUACUAAGUUGUUGUUAUCCACUUUUGUAAAAUAUGAAAUGUAUAUAUCAAAGAUUUUGUGGUGUCUUUUAUUUAUAUAUUAAAAAAUAAUUUCAUAUUAUUUAUUUUUCAUAUGGAUCGUUAUUUUAUACAAUAAUGAUAUUUUUUUAAAAUUUGUUUUUAUUUAUUUAUUUUCUAUCAUAUAAGCUAUAUGAAAACAAACUUAUAUAGCUAGAUAAGAAACGGGUCUUCAUCAUCAAAUAACUUGUAAGUUAUAACAAAAAUUAAUCUCUAGUUACUAAAAUCUAUAGGCUACUUAUAUACUGUAUAUAUAUGUGAUAGAAAAGUCUAAUUUCUUUAUUUAUUUUAUUUAAAAUAUAAUGAGUCAUCUAUGCGAGUUUGCUUUUCAUAAAAUUGAAAUCGAUAUUUUCUUAAAUUUGAAGUAAAGAAAUUGUUAUUGUGACAGAAAGAAAUAAAGAGAAAAGGAGAUUUCAUAUUAUCUAGAGAGUUGUAUAAUAAAACUUUACAUAAACUUAUGAAUUAUGUGAAAAGAAAUAUAAAAAAAAAAAAAACAGAAGACAAAGUAAGCAUGGCCAUGCAUGGGUCCGAUAUAUAUAUAGCAACGUACUUACUGAAAACGAAGAAUCCCACUAAAAAGAGAAGUGAAGGGUUAAGAGAUGGUCCACGUUUCCUUUACUAAGAGAUAGUCCUCUUCGGAUCGCACCACACGAGCCCCACCUUUAAACCAACCCGACCCGAUUCGACCCGACCAAAACUUGCCUACUUUGGCUGCUCUCGAUAAUACUAACAACGAAGCUGUCCAAUUCAGUUAGGGUUUUGGUUAUGAUGACGGACCCUAGUUAUAAACACUAGAGAUGGUCCAGUUCCGACAAAUAGCAUUGGGUGAUGUUUUUUGCUGACAAUUACCGAACAAUAAUAAUCAAAACUGCUUUUGUUUUCUACAUAAGUUCUAUACAUAUAAGAUGAAAUGAAGAAAGCUUCUUAUUUUUUCUCUAAAUAUUGAAGUGUUUUUCUAGAGAAACCUUACAUGUAUUUUUGUUUUAUUUUAGAGAGCAUCUUAUAAUAGAAAUGGUCUUAGCUACAUCUCAUUGAUACUAUUUAUAGAAUUGUUUAGCUACAUAAGAUUAAUGAGUACUAUUAUCAUCUGAUAAUCUAAUAAAAAAAGUCGUUGGGUAAUUUGGUAGAAGUAAUAUAUUUUACUCCUGAAUUUGAAGUGUAUUAAGUUCUCUAUGUUUUUCUAUAGAGAAACCUUACAUGUAUAUUUGUUUGAUUUUAGAUCUAAUAGAAAUUGUCUUAGCUACAUAUAUAUCACUAAUACUAUUUAUAGAAUUGUCUAGCUAUAUAUUAUUAAUUAGUACUAUUUUUUCGUCUAUUAAUUAGUACUAUUAUCAUCGAAUAAUCUAAUGUAAAAUUAUCGCUGAAUAAAUUUGGUAGAAGUAUAUAUUUACAUUUCCACACUUAAAUACACAAAUUCAUAUAAAGAUGUUUGAAAUAUAAAUAUAUGAACUGAAAUAAUAUAUAAAUCACAAUAAUAAUAAUAAUAAAAAAUGAAAGUUUUUUUUUCUGAAAUGAUUGUGGUUUUCACUAGAAAAGAUGGCGAACUAGGCUUCAUAAAAUUUAAACAAGCUCUUUUACGUAGUCUCAUUUGCAAAGAUCAAAGACUCACGGGGACAUAUAUACUAUUAAAGCUGAAGUACCCAAAAUAUUGACCUUAUAAGAAUAACCAUCUUGCAUCCAUAUACUACAUAUGCAUAAUAUUUUGGUCCCUUACGCUAAGUACAACACAAUUAGUCAUGCUCUUUAUUUCAUAAUAGUAAAGAGUUCUAAAGUUUAAGACUUUAAAUCAUAUACUAACCAAACCUUUAUGAAAAAUACAAAAAAAACAAUCAAAAGUUAGAACUCUUUAUGUUUAUUUCAUUAAUGCAUUUAAUGUAAUAAUUUUACUAGAACAUCAACUAUAUAUAUAUAUAAUUAUAUCAUAAUAAUUAUUAGAAAAACUAAGAUAAAACAAAGAAAAUAAGUAGAAAAUAGUAGAAAAAAUAUAAGGAAAAUGUAUGAAAAAUAUAAGCAACUACGGCUCUGUUUUUUUUUAUGUGUGAGAUCCUCACCAGCUACUGAUUAUAAUCUGUCUUAUUUUUGUAACUAUGAGUACUUUCUAAAGAGUAUAAUUAUAAAUUCUGUAGAUUUCCAAUUAAUUAACUCGGAGAAAAAGAUGAAGAGUCCUACCAUUUUCAUGUCUCGAGUUUCUUUUCUCUAAGUUCAACAAUAGUGAUGUUGAUUAUAAAGAAAGGUAGUGACAGUCCGGAUCAAUGGUUCAUAACUUCAUAUUAUGUCUAAAGGAGUGUAUAAUCAAAAGAUAAAACCCCUAGUUGCCAAGUAUUCUAACUAAACGUAUAAUCUCAGUAAGAUAUUUAUAAUCAACCGAACAUAACUUCUUUGUUGUUAUUGUUGUUGUAGUUGCUGUGUAUUAAGGUGGUAGAGAUCGUGGAACACUUGCUAAAAUUAAACGAGUUAAAGCUUGAGGCCAAGGCCACCAAGUCCAGUAGUGUUCAUAUGUUGUAGGCAUGUCUUUAACCUUAUCGUCCCAUAACCUAUGAUCCUAGACAUGAUCACAUGACUCAUGUAGUCAUGUACUUGAAAUAACAGACACUUGAGCUUUUUCUUUUCAUUAAUAACCAUAUAUUUUGUACGAGCGUUAGAUAAUUUUACAGGUCGUCGUAGAGCUAAACACUCCAGAGUUUGAGUAAGCACCGUUCGACUUUGUCAUAUGGCGGACAACGAGGACCGCUGCAUAGUAUUGGUAUUUGGUAGGUUACUAUAUAUAUUUCAACACAUACUAAUUCAAUUCGGAUGAAGUGAAUACGAUAUGUUUGUCUCAUACUUCGACCAAUUUCUUCAUUGCUCUCUUUUAUGCUUUAUUAUAUAUUUAUUACUCAUAAUCUACUUAUGGUUAAUUAAUUAACAUAGUUUCGUACUACUCAAUACAAUUCCAAAAUUUCUAUAAUUUUUUUUAUAAUAAAUGUUUAAUAUUAAUUAAAACUAAAAAUAUAAUAGUUUUUUACAAUGAUUACAAAUUAAAUAUAAGAUAGUUUAUAAUAUUAUAUAAUUCAUAAUUCAUAUUUAUAUACUAUUACCAAAGAUACAAUUUUUACGUCCACCAUUACUGGCCGAAGUAAUUUCGAAAGUGUGCGAUUUCAUUUCCAAAAAAAUUCUAAUUCUUUUUCGGACAAACUAAAAAUUGUAAUACUAUUAAACAUAAAUUGAGAAGCAAUAGGAAAAGAAAAUUGUUAUUUAAAAAAAAAUUAAAGAGCUAUUGAAAUAAAUUCUGGUGAUUAUUUUUUUUUUGUUUCUGCUAAAAUGUUAUUUUCGUAAGUUAUACAAAAUAACUCAAAUUAUAUUUUGAAAAAAAAAAAACUACUCAAACAGAAAACAAAACAUUAAAACGCGUAAGAUCUGGUCAAUGUGGUCACUAGUCAUGGAGGAUGGGUCACCUAAUCAAUCUUUUUCUCUCUAAAAAAAGAUGUUAAACAAUAAUUUUCUCACAAUUUCCUCGAACAAGAUGAAGAAGAAACACAUUAGACAACUCAUUAAUAAAAAAUGUCAAAAUCUCAAAAAACUAAGAAACCAAUCAAAUUCGUCCAUUUUUUUUCCCUCUUUUGCUUUUUUUUUCUUUCUUCUUUCUUCUUUCUCCUCGUCACUCUUCAGAUUCCGGGAAUAAAGAGAGAAAAGUUUCAAUCUUUUUGUUAGCCGGAGAUGGUUACGCCGAACUGGGAACUCCGAGGUUGCUGUAACCGGAAUCAGAAUACUUUCCUCAUCACCAUCGGAAUCUUCACCGUCGUUAUCCUCUUGGUCAGUUUUAAUAAAGUUUGAAACUUUAUAUGUUUUCUUCGAUUCAAUUGAAGAUCCGAAGAGGUUUUUGUAGAUUCUAGCCAAAAGGGUUUCUGAUUUUAGUGUUUAUGCAACUAUUGACCUAUAAAUUUCAUUCAAAUUUUGUGAUUUUUGGUGUCAUAUGUGUUGAGAUGUUUACAGAGGUUUCUUGUGUGGGGUUUUGGUUUUUACAGCUAUGGAGGACAUUUCUAUUGACUCCAUUUAAACUUAUUACGGUGUUUUUGCACGAAGCGAGUCAUGCUGUUGCUUGCAAGCUUACUUGUGGAGAUGUAAGGAGCUCUCUUACUUACAACUACUAUUCUUCAAUAAAAAUAUAAAGGGUACAAGUUUGAUUAUAGGUGUCAACUAAAGUAUUGAACCCUUGAUUCAGUUUGCAAAAUGUUGCUUUGCAAAAGGCAUAGAAGAUAUUAUGGUUUCCUAAGAUAGAAAGGUUAUUGCUUUAGCGAUGAUGUCUCUGUGUUCUCUCUGGACAUGGCUGUUUAUCACAGGCUGUCAUGUCAUUUUAUGUUUUUCUCAUUUGGUUAAUAGAACACAGUUUUAUCCUUGCUUCAUAAGAUUUGUAUAUGAUUCUCCCUUGCUUCCAUUGUUUAUGUGUUUGUAAACUAGUAGCUUCUGUCAGUAGUCUAAGAAGCCACGACAUACAGUGAGUCUACUUGAAGAAAUCCAGCUGCUUAAGCAUUUGGUGUAAGUCUGAUAUAUCUAGCUUUGGAAUCAAUGUAACAGAUUUAGGUGUUGUGAGUUGGUUAGUGAGGGCUGGAUUUAUAAAGAUGCCCCUGCAGAUUGUUUAGGGUGUAGAUUUAUAGGAUUUGAUUGGCAUUUCGGUUUAGUAAUUCUCUAAUAACCAGGAGUGUACAGCUUCAGCUCUUACUAUAGUUCUGAUGUGAUGAAAUCCACAAACUUUUCUUUCCAAAUACUGCUUCUAUGAAUAUGCAAGUUUUACACCCCUGAACAAAACUUUUAUCUUUGGAAAGUCUAGGUAUAGAUUACUGAGAAUACCAUCAAAUUUAUGAACCAUCUCUUUGUAAAAAUCUGCAUCUCACAGUCGUAUAUAAUGUGGAUAAUGCUUAUCUUUUAACGUAUGUCCCUCAUUUUGGUUACUCAUUUCCUUAAUGAAUCUAAAGGUGGAGGGUAUGGAGGUGAAUGCAAAUGAAGGGGGUUCGACAACAACACGUGGUGGCAUUUACUGGCUGAUCUUACCUGCUGGCUGUAAGGCCCAAUCUAUCUUUAUCCCUUAACCAAUUUUUUCGAAUUUAGACACUCCUUUGUUGAUGGAUUAUAGGUGAAAGGGCUAAAAAGUGUUACCCUUUUUUGUUGUUUGAAUUGGUUAUAGAUCUCGGGUCAUCAUUUUGGGGAAUGGCUUUGAUUCUUGCAUCUACCAAUCUGCUUACAGCAAGAAUAGCUGCUGCUGGUUUGGGUCUUGCUUUAUUCAUCGUCCUCUUCAUUGCCAAAAACGUAAGAAGUUACUAUUUCGCUUAUUUACAGAGUCUUAUUUCCUUAAAAGUCAUCAACAUUAAACAUUGACAUCUUCAAUUUUGACAGUGGACGCUUCGAGGUCUUUGUAUAGGUGUGUUAUCUUAUCUCGCGCGUCCUGUAAUUGCAUUUUCUUUCUAAGUACCCAAAAUGCUUAUAUAGCUGUAAUAUUCCCAGGUUUCAUAGUUUUCCUCGCUAUCAUAUGGGUUCUACAAGAGCUAACUACAGUCAAAAUUCUCCGUUAUGUCAUUCUAUUCAUUGGUGAGAUACUAUAAAACUCUUGUCUCUUCUCUUGUCUCUCUUGUUAACAUCAUUUAAUUUCGUUUAGCCUAUACUAAAGCUGGAAUUACAAUAUUGCAGGUGUGAUGAAUAGCUUAUUCUCAGUUUAUGGUAUGUAAAUUCUUAUCUCCCAUUUCCUUAAAGUUAUGACUUAUGGACCAAUAAUAAUAUGGCUGCAAUGCACAAAUAUUAGAUAUCUAUGAUGACCUGAUAUCUCGGAGGGUCCAUUCGAGCGAUGCUGAGAAGUUUGCAGAGAUCUGUCCUUGCUGUACUGGUUGUGGCUGGGGUGUCAUCUGGUUAGAACUAUAAUCCAACUCUCAGUAUUCACAUUCUGAAAAUGAAAAUGAAAAACCGUUUUUUUCUAACAAACUGUUUUCGUUUCAGGGGAAUGAUAUCUUUUGCAUUUCUUUGCGCAUCGCUCUAUCUUGGCCUAGUGAUCUUAUCGUAAAACCGUCAUUCUUUGAUGAAUCUGUUGGUGUCUCUCAGGUUCAGAUUCUUCUUAGUGAAAUGCAGAGACAAUAGAUUGAUGAUGACAAAAACAAAAGAAAACUUGAUUCUUUAUUAGAUCCCUUGGUGUGUUGGGGGAUUUACAUUUGAUUGAAACCAUAGGGUUUAUUUGAGAGUUUGUAAUGUAAAAUUCAUAGGAAAAAUAUUGAUUUGGUCUCUGUUUAUUGUAUUGAAAAGUUCGUUGACUUCUUCAACAGAAUAGAAAAAAAAGGUCCAUUGACUUUUUAGAUGAGCUAUUCAUUCUUGAACGUUGAAAUUGUUAAAAGCUUGAAUAUAUAAGACAUCUUGAUAUCAUCGUCUACAAGGUUUGGUCAUAUGGUUUUCGUGUAAGAAAAAUAGAAUGUUUCUGAAGAUAAUUGUCGGAAUUAAAAAUUUGAAUUGAUAAACAUCAAGUUUCCUAAGUAAGCUAUAUAGAGAAAUCAAAGAAAAAGUCUUUCAACUUUGGUCUACACGAAACGAAUUUGUUAAACCAAAAACGUUUGGUCUUGAGUGGUUUCUAGUUUCCCAUUUAUUUGAUAUCCCAAAAAAAUAAAGAAAAACCAUUGACUAACACGGUUUGAAAUUGACCAAAUUUGAAGAAUUCUUGUAAUCCCAAUGAACAACAACAACCUAUCCACAAAAAUUGGUGCUUACAAAGUUUUUUUGGUGGUUCAUAUCAAGUUAGUCUUCUCUUUUUGGUUGAAAUGUAAAUCCCAAAAAUAACAAAAAAAAUUGUAUAUAUAUUUUUGUUAUUAUUAAAAAUUGUUAGUAACGUGGCCUAACUAAUCCCAAAAACUAGUUCAAGUGAAGAAAAAUUGUCACAUCUUAUAUAUAUUAUCCAAAGAUUUUAAUCCCAUAGGAUGUGAGAUUUUGGGACUCUAAUAGAAAUGCACGAUAUUUUUUUCCUCGGUUGUUCCACACGUUACUAUUGAGAGCCAGAUUUUUUGAACUUUUUUCAAGAAUCAUUACUAUUCUAUCGAGAUGUAACUAAUUUGACCCUAAAGAAUAUACGUUUUUAUGUGUAGAUGAUGCUCUUCUCCAUAAUAUAUGUUGGAGAUAUGCCAUAAUACGUUGACAACAUUAGGCAAAAAGAACCGGGUUCGAUAAGUUGAGGAAUACCAAACCGAACACCAACGACCAACUUGGAGUCGUACGUACGUGGUCCAAAAAGAAAAAAAAAGAAACUCAAUAAGAUACAAAAGAAGAAGAAGAAGACGUAAAGCUCAGAUUUGGAGCAUAACGAACUCCACGUCACGGCCAACCUUUUCUUCCCAUACCAUUGACGACGUCUUCCAACAGUAACCCUUCAUUCUCUAUACCAUUCUACUCCACCCUCACAUUCUCUUUUUUGUUUUCUUCUUCUUCUUCAUCUUCUUCUUCUUAUGAGUUUCCUUUAUUUUGUUUUGUGCAACAAAAAAUGAAUGGCUCGUGAGUUUUUUGGCAUAGAAGUAAUCACGUAUGGUGAUGUGAUGUCAUGCAUGAGAUAUAUAGUUGCAACUUGUAGAUAUAUGGACAAGUUUGUGUAAAGAAAACUUGCAUCCACGAUAUUUAAAGUAUUAUGCAUGUUGUAGAAUUGAACACGUGGUUUAAAAAUGUCUUGGAUAACCACGUUUGCAUAAAAUUUAUUUGGGUUUUAGAUUUCCUUAUAUAGCAACUAAUCCACGUAAAUUCUUGGAUUGCUAUGUGAUAGCAAAAAUUGAAAAAGAUAAUAAUGUUGACUUGUAAAUAAAGUAAGAAAAAUCAGUUCUGUCAUUUCAGAAGAGAAAGUAUGUCACAUGUAAAAUGGAUUCAUUGAUACUUUUCAUGAGAACUUCCCACAAGGAAGCCAUUGACCUUACCUUUCUCUAUAUCCAGCUAGAACAAAUUUUUAUUUUGUUUUAUUUAUGAAGUCACAAGAACUUUACGUAUAAUAGUUGGGGCUACAUCUUAAAGAGUAUUUAAUUAUUUUAUAUUAUGCUUGGAAUAUUCAUAAUUUAAAAUAUAUAUGGUAAAGUAUCAACCUAGGCUAAAAAGAUUUGAAUAAAAAAGAUUUAACUGUUUUCGAUUUUAUCACAAAUUCAUGUACAAGAAAACUUCUAGAAAAAUCAAAACAAUUAUCCAGUUCCGAAUUGGCAAUGCACUAAUUAACACAAUUUUAGAUGACAUAUAAUUAGAAAAUAAUAUUUUUGAUAACGUUAUGUACAAAAUAUAUACAUAUUUCUUUCAUAUUAAAAAAAUAUAGAUUGAUGAAAACAGAAGGAUAUGGAUUAUAACAAAGGUUUUUAAUUUUAAAUAGAAAUUUUAAAAUCAUCAAAAAUUAGGUAAAUCUCAUUAUAAAUCCAUAAUUUAAAAUUUGCCGAAAAAUUAAUACUUUUACAAAUUCAAUAAAAUAUCUUAAUUAAUAAUAAAAAGUUUUAUCGAUAUAUUAUUAGUUUAUACGCGUUUUUUUGUUGUUGUACGUGGGUAUAAAAAAUAUGUAAAAUCAGUUUCUGUGUGAUUUGUAGGAUUAUUCAAUAGUCAACAACUUUUUUAAUUUGUUUGAGUAGCAUUAGCAAUUCUUAAGAGGAACUCUUUUUAAAAUUGUUUAAACUUUAAACAAUAGCCAUUAGAUGAAGCCGAGAAUCAUUAGUAUUCCAAGCGAAAACACAUUUAAUUUACAAAUAUGUAAUGUUCUCAACGCAAAGAUGUUUUGGUAGGAGGAAGCAUGAUGUCUCUUUCAAGAAAUGGUGUCUAAUCCAAUAUGAAACUAUUCUCUCUUAGUCUAGAUUUGAAGUCUUUUGUGAGACACAAGCAACUAAAAAAAUAUAGUUGUGAUUACAGUAGCAACCAUGUGACAUAUAAUUUAUGAAAUAAAUCUAUUCCAUAAAAAAAAUAUAAACUAGUUUACAUUCAUAUUGUACAUUUUGAUUCAUUCCAUAUAUUUAAUGUUCAAUUAAUAUAUGAUAAGAAAAAAAAUACAAUAUGGCAAGUUUGAGAAUUAUAAUUCUUACCAUAUUUUUUCUUGAUUCUCAAGUUCUAUAUUUCCAAACCAAACACGCAAAUUCCUAUAUUAAUCACAAAAUUAAAAAAAAACAGUUCUCAAAUUAUCUUCCAAAAAUGGUCUUUACCUCUAUUUUGAGCAUUUUCAGAUUUCUCCUCCACGUCUACUUGAUGGUCAUGGAUUGGUUUCAAAGACGAUGCGUUCUCUUCUUGUUCACACGUAAGUACUCUUAUUUUUUUUUGGUGCAAUCAUUCACACGUAAUUAUAUUGUAUAUACAAAAUUUCAUAUAAUAAUAAAAUUCAAGAAAUUCUCGUGAAUCUAUUACAAAAGAAAAGAAAAAAUCACUUAAUUAAUAAUGCAUAUCUUAAUUUCUACAUAAAGAAACACAUAUUUACACACUUGCUUGUGUAUUAAUAUUCUUAUUUCCAUAUUUAUAUGAUUUUGAGUAUUAUUUUUUAACCCUCUUACAAGAAAUACAAAAUCAUUUCUAUUAUAUAUAGUAGAGAAGGGUUACAAGAAAAGCCCAUCAUCGGUCUUUAUACUAUUAUCUGUAUAUUCCUCUCUGAAUUCAUAAAAUGGGUGCAGACGCAAACGCAAUACAAACGAACGGUCACGAUCAAGGCAAGUUAACCGGCGGUGAAGAGAUCCAACGGCUGAGAUGUUUCGUCAAGAACUACGAAUGGGGCAAACUCGGACCGGACUCAUUGGUCGCGAGACUCCAAGAAGCGAAUUCUGGAAGACGAGUCGACUCAGCGGUUCCUCACGCCGAGUUUUGGAUGGGUACUCAUGAGUCUGGACCGAGUCAUGUUGGAUUCGGGUCCGGGUCUGAUAAAUGCAUGGUUACAUUGAAAUCGUGGGUUUUGGAUCAUCCGGAUUCACUCGGGUCUAGAGUCGUGGACAAGUGGGGUUACGAUCUCCCUUUCCUCUUCAAGGUACCAAUUCCUCUGUUUUUUUUCAUUGCUCUGUUUUUGUAAAGAUGUUACAUUUGACUCUGUUUCUUUUCUUCAAAAAAAUUGGAUUUUUCUACAGUUAUAACUUGUAAAGUUUUGAGUUUUAUAUAUAUAUAUAUAUAUAUAUAACAAUACNNNNNNNNNNNNNNNNNNNNNNNNNNNNNNNNNNNNNNNNNNNNNNNNNNNNNNNNNNNNNNNNNNNNNNNNNNNNNNNNNNNNNNNNNNNNNNNNNNNNAUUGGAUUUUACAGAUUCUAUCUUAUGGUCAAUUUCUCUGUUUUCUUUGCUCUGUUUUGAUGAUGAUGAUACAUUUUGUGAUUUUGACUCUGUUUAUAUUAUUAAAAGUUUGGGCUUUUCUUGUUUCUUUACUUAAAGCAUACAGAUUUGUAUCUAAAAGUGUUUGAAAUGUGAAAUUUUGUUUAGGUAUUGUCAGUGACGAAAGCAUUAUCGAUUCAGGCACAUCCUAAUAAGUCAUUAGCAGAGAAAUUGCAUAGAGAAGAGCCUCUACUAUACAGAGAUUCUAACCACAAGCCUGAGAUUGCUCUCGCAGUCACUCCUUUCCAAGCCCUUUGUGGUUUUGUAUCUCUUAAGGUACUUUACACAUUUCAGAUCUCUCUCUCUCUCUCUCAUUCUCUGCAAAAAAACAUUUGUGUCAGUCUGUGGUUGAGAUCAACAAUAAAGUUUUCCCUAGAUCCGGUUUGGUUUAAAGAAACUGUAUCGUACCAAUUUCCUGGUUUGAUUUGGUAUGGUUCACAUUUGAGUUACAUAAAGUUGAUUCUGAUUUGGUUCUGCCAAAGCUAAAUUGAACCGGUUCUGUACCUUAUGUUGAAUCAGGAGCUGAAGGAGGUUAUAGCCAAUGUACCAGAGAUUACAGAGCUUGUAGGAAGCAAAGCUGCAGGUCAAAUCUUCAAAGUCCAUGAACACGAUGACGAAGAAAGAAUCAAAUCCGUUGUUCGAUUGAUCUUCACGCAGUUGAUGUCUGCAAAAAGCAGCAAGACAAAGCAAGUGAUAUCUCGUAUGAAGAUUCGUCUGAUCUCUGAGACUAAACACCGUGAACUGUCGGAUAAAGAGAAGUUAGUUUUGGAACUGGAGAAACAGUACACUGGUGACAUUGGUGUGAUCUCAGCCUUCUUCUUUAACUAUGUCAAGCUUAAUCCUGGAGAGGCUUUGUAUCUGGACGCGAACGAGCCACACGCUUAUAUCUCUGGCGACUGUAUCGAGUGUAUGGCGGCUUCAGACAACGUUGUUAGAGCUGGUCUUACUCCUAAACACCGCGAUGUUCAAACCCUUUGCUCUAUGCUUACCUAUAAACUGGUAACUUUCUUUACACGUUAACCUUUUCAUAACUUUCUUUACACGUUAACCGUUUGGUUUUGUUAGUAAACCAAAUACGAGAUUGUUUUGGUUUAUCGAUUAACCGGUAUAUCGGAUUUUUUUCAGGGGUACCCGGAGAUUUUGAAAGGAUUCCCUCUGACUCCUUACGUUACUAGGUAUCUACCACCAUUUGAUGAGUUUGAAGUUGAUCACUGUGAACUUCCUCUAGGAAGAUCUACGGUUUUACCGGCAGUACCGGGUCCUUCGGUUUAUCUGGUUAUUGAAGGAGAAGGGAAAUUACAAACCGGUUCUACUCAAUUGUUGGUUAACCAAGGAGAUGUUUUGUUUGUUCCAGCUCAUAACGAGAUUCACAUAACCGGAGAAAGUGAUGUAAUGAAGCUUUACAGAGCUGGAGUCAGCAGCAGAUUCUUCCAAACGUUAUAGGGCUAAACAAAUAUUUAAGCACAUUAACUAUACUAAUUACUAUAUUACAUAUAUAUAAGCAAAUCAUAGAGACCAAAAUCUUUAAAUUGGUAGAAACUGUGGUUUAAUGUGUAAUCCCCUCCAAUGGCCUGUUGCAAAUUAAAAGCUCAAGGGGUUUAUUUUCUUAUAUUUACUUUAUUUUAUUGGAAUUUUUGUUUGUGCAAUAUUUGUUAAACAAAAUAUAUGUAAAAUGAUUGUAAAAGAUUUAUCCCAAUUUUAAAAGUAUUUCAUUUUCUCACCAACAUAUUGGGGGUUGUUACUCUCAAACUAUAAUGAAUCAAGAAGUCAAGGCAAUUAAAUGAUAGAGUUUAUGGUAAUUCAAUGUAAUAUGAGAAACUUUUAUGAAUUUCCAUUUAAAAAUCAGUUGACAAUUAUGGGUUGUUCUAAAUUUCUUAAAUAUGUUUAAAUUAUAUCGUACUUUUGAAGUAAUAAUGUACAAUCUCACAAUAGUCAACUAAGAAUUUAUCUUUACAUAUUUCAUUUUGAGAUAGAUAAGAAAUUUGCAAUUUUUUUUCCUUUACAAAAAAUGUAAAUAUCUUUCCAAGAAAUUAAAGUUUAGCAAACAUUUGUAGUCUUGAAAUCUUAUUCAAAAGUGAAUUUGUAUAGUUUUACUAAAAAUAGAAUCAAGAUAUCGAUUUUAUCAUAUUGUAGUUUGGUACGAUAUAUAAUAUAGGAGCAUCGUUAUUGCAAACCUCUUAGACUUGAAAAAGGUAUAUUAGCACAAUGUUUGGUAUCUUAUGCUCUAAGAGCCUUGAAGUUAAACGAUGAAGCUUCUUUAAUGGAGUAAAAUGGAGUAUAUAUAUCUUCUUCACAGUAAAUGCAGUGGUGAUGAUGGCUUUCUAACGACUAUUAAAUACACUCCAUGAAGACUCAUCCCAUAUUAUAACUUAUGUUGCAAUCAAUCAAACCCUGUUAUGGCAAAACGUGGAAACGUUACGAUCCUGAUCCUCUAUGAAACAUCCUCACAUCAGACUUUAGAGCCUCAAACACUUUCAUCUAGUACUCUUUGGCUCUGCCCUUUAGAACCAAACCUCCCACGAAUCCCUCAGUAACCAAAUCAAAUGCAUACCCAACAAUCCCAAAUCUGGGGGGAACCAAAGGUGGCACUUUGUGCACGUACGUUGGACUUAUUAUAUGCGACAAUGAUGGUCCACACUCUUAAGUCAAACAAAAUUAGGUAAACCCGUGUCUCAAAGCACUUGAUCUGCUGAUGAGGACAUGACUCACCCACUCAACUCAACUUUUAAGAACUCGACUGGUAAUACCGUACUAGUGUUUUCACAUCAAAUCUUGUACUUAAUGUUAACAUUUGAAAAACUUGGUGAACUUAAAUCUUUAGUUUAGUAGUAUAUGUGAAGAGGAGGAGGUUUCCGAGUUGCAAAAUUCUGCAAAAACUCUCAAGAUGUAAACUUACUGCAAGAUUAUAUAAAACCAUCAUUCCAAAUCUUGUUUGGUCUCAUUGAUUCUGUCAACAACUUACUUCAUUACAAACUAGUUUAUGUUUAAUUUUGAUCCGAGACAAGCGUACAAUGAAAACCAUCAUUCCAAAUCUUUAUAAGCAAGUUAAAGAAAGUCGAUGAGAGACCAAGAUCGCAGGUUUACUUGCACUGGUUGUUGGUUAAAGCUUUGGUUACACAAUGCGAAACGAUUCCAACCGGGCAGAAGAGAAGGCAAAGCGAAACAGAAUGCCUCGUUUCGAUCUGGUUCAGUAAACCAUCAUUAUAAACUUGCCUACAAGAGAAAACCCAAAACACGCGUUAUAAGAAACAUGUUCGGAUAAAUUCAGAACCCGGUGAGAAGAAGAAGAAGCCCGGAUAUAUAUACCUGGCAGCGAAAAGAUCGACAACAAGAAGAUGAAUCCACGCAGAGGCAAGAGUCAUUUCACUUGAGAACAUUUUUGCUAUCCCCGACAACUGCAGAUGAAAUUAAACUUUAGAAAUUGCAAUGAUACAUUAUCAUAGAAAAACUAUACGCUUGUUUUCGAAUGUUUCAGGGAAGCAAAGUACCUCUGGCAACAUGUAUUUACUAGAAAACAUGUACUUGAGUGUCUCGGGUGUCCAAGAAAGGUAUAACAAAUACGCGUAUAACACGCCUAAGACGAUAUACGGUAAGCUACUCUCCAUACACUUCUUGGUCUGCACAAAGAAACAUAUAUACUCAAUUUAGAUCCAAAUUCUUUGAGUCUGCACGAUAAAUUGCAAAACUUGAAAGAAAAUAUAAUCUUACAAUCUCAGCUUUUGGAGCUACAACCAUAAGAGUGUAAAAGGGAAGAACUGCGGUUGUUCCAACUGCAAACACACUACUUGCAAUCUGAGAUGUAGCCAACACUGCAACAUAAACAUAUCAGAGAUCAAAACCACAAAAAUGAGUGACAAAGUUUCAAGCUUUAAGUUCAAUGAAAGUGCAGAGAGAGACACAUUACAUGAAGCUUGUACGCCAAAGACUUUCUUGUAAACUACAGAGCAAGAAUUCGAUGAAACAUUGGGGUGAAGAGAGAUUCUUGAUCCUCCAACGAAGCUCCAAGGAUUAUCUAAUCUAAUUCUUGAAGAAUCAAGAAAAAGAUCCGAUCUUUUAACAGUAAUGUUGCGUUUCAUCAUCUGAAAUCAACCAAAAAAGAAUGAACUUUUUUUACUUCAUCUCUUAAAAAUUCAGAAACUUUCAUAUAGAAACAGAGUUUCUCUGAAACAGGUGACCCACGGAGAAGUCAAUUCAAUGAUAUAUAAAAAAAAACAUCAGGGUCAAUUCAAAACCCAUUAAAUUCUCCAAAUUGAGUCAAAAGGUAAAGACUUUAAGGUUAUCUAUAACUAUAGUAAGAACCUCAACACAGAAUCUAAACCGACAAAAGAUCCACAAACACUAAAGUAUAAGUGAGAUUUGGAGAUAAAAGAAGAGUACCGAGAGAGAUGAAGAAGAGAAAGGCUGAGAAAUGAGAGAAGUAAAAACCAUCUUUGAUUCAAAACUUCAAUACCCUUUGCCAAAACCUGAUCCUUCAUUACCUAACUUAACCAAACUCUCUCCAUAUAUAGAUGGAACACUGAGUAAUGAUGGUUUGAGAGGUGUUGUUUCCACUGAAUACGGAAGUGGAAGGGUGAAAGAAAAAAGUUGUCUUUCACUCUUUCUUCCUCAGUGUGUCCACAAUUAUAUGCAACACGUUUUUUAUUUGCUCAUACAGUCCUCCUCUUUAUAAAUUUUUCAUCUUUUACUAUCACUUUUCCUUUUUAAUAUAAUUUAGACAUUUUUUUUUGACAUCGUAUAAUUUACACUUAUUUUUUUUAGUAUAAAAGUUAACAAUUCCUUUCGAUUUCAUUUUAAAGUUUUAAACUACAUUUUUUUUUAAUAUUGGUUUACUUCAAUGAAAGAUAUCAUUUAGUACUUUAGUAUAUAAGUAUAUUUAACAGAUAAUAUUUUUUAGUGAAUCAUCGUUAUAUAUUGAGAAUUCAACAUGUUGAUCAAAAAAAAUUUAUAUGCAUUGGCUUUGAUUGGUAACACAAUUAAAAGUGGUUGGAGAUUCAAUCAUUCGUUAACUUAGUUACUAAUUAGAUGAACCAUCGAAAUAGACGUAUGAAACGAAUAGUAGAAGAUAUGGUUAAAAAGAUGGUAAAAACUCAAAUGAGCCGGUUGCCAACCGCGUCGUUUAUAUGAUGUUGCCAAUAUGAGCCAUUAUGUGAAAGGGAGAUGGAAGUGAAAGUGAAUUUAGGUGGACAAGAGACAAGUCUAGUUUCAGAAAAAGACAAAGGUUGGUGUUGCUCCCAUUAAUUUUGUUAAACAAGAAAUAAGAUAGAGAUGUGGUUAAUGGCUAAUAAUCUAAAUAUAUAACUCACUGCUUGAGAAAGUGGAUGAAGUAAGAUAACUUGGGUGGGCUAUUUGGUAUAUAACUUAAAAUUUAAUUAAUGGGCCUUUUGAUCCACCCAUUUUGUUUUUCUUUUCUUUUCUUUUGUAACUCCCACUUACACUGUUCAGUCAACAAAUAAAAACAAAUUUGUGGCAUCUUUCAAUCUUGUUGUGGGAUUUUCGCAUUUCGAUGUAUUCGAUGGCGACCAAAACUAAGAUUAAAUGGUAAAAGAUUUUUUCCUUAAUUUAUAAAAAUGUUUUUGAUUAUAUUUUCUGAUUUGAAAACUUUUACUAUAUCUAUAAACUUCAAAAACCGCAAAUUCUUACAAGCCUCAUAUAUCUUAUCCUAUUCCGACAAGUACCUAAACAACAUUACUACAAAUUAUACAUUUCACACUAUAGAGUUCAAAUAUGUGAACUUGGGCCAAGUCAUUUGAUUGAGGAAAUAUAUAAUAUGAUCCACAAGAUCCUUGAAUAUACUCUUUUAAGUGAAAAAUGAAUAUUCGAGACCUCUUAUCAAGAAUCCUAUCCUAAAGAAAGCACAUCCACUUAUGUUUCCAUCACUAGAUUUCAAGUGGGUCAUCAUCAUCUUUUACUUCAAGAUAUUGUUUAGCCUAAACCUCUCAAACCUCCUUAAUCGUGUGAUCUAAUCUAUCUUAUGUGUUUCUUCAACUUGUAAAUUUUCAUGUUUUUUUUGAGUCACAUUGUCCUAUUAUUUUCUUUAAUGUUCAUAUGCAAUUCAAAUUCAAGAGAUAUUAUAGAACAUUACAUAUUUAUUUCAUCAGAUAGUUGAGAAUCCGAUAGAAAAUGUCUCGCAAACCGGAAAACAAACGUUAAAUCCGGAAAUUAAAACUUUAGAUAAAAAUUAAAAAGAAAAAAAGGAAAAAGCAGAAAUUGAUAUAAAAUCAAAGGUGGAGGAGGGGAUGAGAUAAAGUUUUUGAUAUGUUUUACAAGAAACAAAGCAAAGCAAAGAGAGAGAUUAAGCAUCGGUGAAGCGAGGGGGCUUGUAGGCAAUGAAACUGAUGCACUGCACUUGACGGGUGUUGUCGAAUCCGAUGAUCCUGAUGAAGGCUUCAGGGUACUCCUUCUUGCACUCGUUAACUUCCUUCAACACUUGUGCUGAGUCAGUGCAUCCGAACAAGGGUAGCUUCCACAUUGUCCAGUACCUUCCAUCGUAGUAUCCGGGGGUGUUACCGUGCUCACGGUGCACAAACCCGUUCUAUAAUACAAAAAAACCAAACCACACAUGUUACGACCACAACAACAACAACAACAACAAAAGUCCAAGAUCUAAGCUAGUUUAUGUUUUUUGUUACCUCCAACUCGAAUUCGACACAGGGAAUCCACUUGUUGCGGAGAAGGUAGUCAACUUCCUUUCCCAACUCGACCUCGGAAAGGUCAGGAAGGUAAGAGAGAGUCUCGAACUUCUUCUUUCCGAUCGGAGGCCACACCUUUGAGAUUCAGACAAAACAACAUAUGAGUUCAUGUAAUUCGAAUGAAAAAAAGUUCUUUGAAAGAAGAAGAAAGAAGAAGAAGAAAAAAGAUGUAUGACCUUCAUGCAGCUAACUCUUCCGCCGUUGCUUGUGAUGGAAGUAAUGUCGUUGUUGGCCUUGCGGGUGGAAGGGAAAGCAGCGGAGGACUUAAGUCCGGUGAAAGGAGCGACCAUAGUGGCCUGAGCCGGGGAGGCAACCAUAGUAGCGGAAGAGAGCAUAGAGGAAGCCAUUGUGUUCUUUCUCUUUUACUCUUUUGUGUGACUGAGGUUCUGUCUAGUGCUUUGGUCAUCUAUAUAUAAUGAUAAUAACAAUGAUAACAAUCACUUGAGUGAUCGUAGGGUCGAGGAAUCAUGAGGCUUGAGUGGGAAAGGAUUUAGACCGUUGGAUGAUGAGUGUGUGGAUAUGUGUGUGUGUGUGAGGUUUUAAGUCACUUGGUAACGGCCACAGAAGCCUAAGGUAAGGUCCUGAGAGACCCUUAUCGGUUUGUAACGCUAGAACAGUG